AUGGUGACUUACUCUACACAUAAGUCCAUUGUCCAGUUUCUGAUGAGUAUAUUGCCACAUUUAGAGUAUCAUGCACACCAAGGACUUGGAGAGCAAACACCACAAAGCGGCAUGGAACAAUCGUUUCGAAGCCUCAGAAAGCGAUUGGAAUGGAUCGACCUGGACGUCCUGGGGAAGGCAUCACAGACCACUCGGUUGCAUGUUUGCACACAACAUGAUCGGCUGGGUUUCCUGUGGAAGUCAAGCAACAACAGAGGAGAAAGCCGACGCACACUUGUCGGAUACAAAUAUGGUCGUAGUUCAUGCACAAGAAUGGGAGAAAUGGGUCAACCAAAGGUGGAUCUCUACUUUUCAAAUUACCGAAUGGAGAUUUAUAUUGAGGCCAUUGAUUAUCUUGUAGAAGAACCUAGUUUUCAAUGA
This 420-nucleotide ribosomal RNA is filed under the name Triticum aestivum (bread wheat). Its description in RNAcentral is "partial small subunit ribosomal RNA". The record is from RNAcentral. Lineage: Eukaryota; Viridiplantae; Streptophyta; Magnoliopsida; Poales; Poaceae.